GCCGCCAUCGCGUAACCCGGUAUCGCAAACGCCUGGAAAGCGUUGCCCGCGAGGGCUUCCCGGUUCAAAUCCGGGUGGCGGCG
RNAcentral lists this transfer RNA (83 nucleotides) under Candidatus Woesearchaeota archaeon. RNAcentral describes it as "tRNA-Ser". It matches the Rfam family "tRNA". From Rfam's summary of the family: Transfer RNA (tRNA) molecules are approximately 80 nucleotides in length. Their secondary structure includes four short double-helical elements and three loops (D, anti-codon, and T loops). The record is from RNAcentral. Lineage: Archaea; Nanobdellati; Candidatus Woesearchaeota.